This 319-nucleotide small RNA is filed under the name Pan troglodytes (chimpanzee). RNAcentral describes it as "processed transcript". The record is from RNAcentral. Lineage: Eukaryota; Metazoa; Chordata; Mammalia; Primates; Hominidae.
UAAUCAUCAGCUUUCUGUUCAGUUUGGGAUGGAAUUGGAUGUAUUUAUAUAAGGUAAAGUAAUCUCACAAGCUGCCAAAGAACACAUCCCAAGUAGUAAUCACAGAUGAUGAAGCACCUUACAGGACACCUCCACCCUCAAACACGCAUGUCCAGAGAAGUAUUAAUGCCUUAAUAGACUACUGAAGGCUAACUAUUUACAUCAUUCUAAAAAUAUUUUAAGCUGUAUUACAGUGCUAUAAAUUCUCCUUUUAAGGAAAAAAGUAAUAGAUUGUUUCCUUACCGUGUUUGAAAGGAAAAAAAAUAAAUCCAUAGUAACU